Molecule: non-coding RNA, 75 nt
Organism: Fukomys damarensis (Damara mole-rat)
Lineage: Eukaryota; Metazoa; Chordata; Mammalia; Rodentia; Bathyergidae
Source: Rfam
UGCAGGCCAGAAGGUCCAAAGAUACCUAUAAAGCACCAGGCAUUUAAUCUACAGUUGGAGAUUAAAAUCAGAAAC